RNA transcript from Tripterygium wilfordii, 5789 nucleotides. RefSeq lists it as uncharacterized. The record is from RefSeq and is a predicted model, not a curated record. The transcript is spliced from 7 exons. NCBI's taxonomy places the organism in Eukaryota, Viridiplantae, Streptophyta, Magnoliopsida, Celastrales, Celastraceae.
UUCAUUCUCACGCAGAGUGAAACGAACCAUAUGACCAGCCAGACAGACCAUUACAGAGAGAAAGCUUUGAUUACAGAGAGAGAGCUUUACUUCAAGAGCAGAGACCAUUAAUUAGGCGAAGACCUCCACAGUUUUAGGGUUCGCUAUCGGAUCCUCUUUUAAAUUUCUAUUCUAACUCUUUCCAAUUUCGUUUUCGGUUCGUUGAGGGGCUUCGUUGAAGUUGUUGUAACAUCCAUCGAGUACAAGAAGAGUGGCCAUCAAAUUUGUUUUUGGAUUGUGGUUUUCUGUUGUUGGUACUCAGAAAUUGAGAUGUAUAACCAGGGGAGUUAUAGUAGUCAGUCUGGGCAGGCUCCUUCUAUGCCCGUGCCACCACCCUUCCAACAGCUUCCUCCUGCUCGGGCACCCCCUCCUCCUCGUCAUCAUCAUCAGUUACAGCAUGGUCCUCUGCCACAUUCAGUAAAUCAACAGGCUCCUCCUCCGGUCCCUUCUCAUGUAGGUCAACCGGGCCCUUCUCCAUAUCGCUAUGGUCCAUCCCCACUACCUACAUUUCCUCGGGUUCCAUCCAGCGGAAUGUUGAAUGCAGGUCAAUCUUAUUUCCAAUACCCUCCACCAGUUCAUGGAGGAACACCAUUGUCACUUGUCUACCCGACAACUCAACAGCACCCUGUUCAACCACCAGUAGCUCCUGCCUAUGGUUUACCGCCACCUCCUAGAGUGUUACUUCCUUCCUCACAAGGUCAAUCCUCAUACAGAGCUCCAGUAUUUCAGUCACCACAGCUGCACAAUGUUGUGCAGGGUUCUCAGCAUAUCACACCUCCUCCUCCUCCUCCUCCUGCUUCUAGUUUAUCUACUUCUGCUUCUUUGCCUUCAAUUGGUUCAACCGGUGGAAACUCUCAGAUGCCUUCCACAGCCCUGCCACCACGGCCACCUCCGCCUUCUUCUUCACCACUGCUUCCACCUCCUCCUCCACCACCACCUACCGCUCCCCUUCCCUCUUCUAUGGCAAUACAUGCUACUCCUAACCUCCCCUCUCUUUCGGACUCUAAUCCAGAUUCAAGUAAACUUUCAGGCUGGAGACUGAAGACAUUAAGUUCUAUCGACGAGAAUUCAGCUUGCAUUGAUGGGAGAGAUAAAUUACCUGAGCAAAGGAGCUAUCUUGAUCAUAACGUUGUAAGUGGAUCUGAAGCAGGAAAUGGCUUUUUGUCCAUGGGCAAUAUGAUUUUAGAUCUUCCUCCACCUCCUCCUAAGCCACAAGAAGAAAAACUUGUUCAGAGAAUUGAGGCUUUAUGCCAGUCUAUUGCCAAGAAUGGUUCUGAUUAUGAAGAUAUGGCUCUUCAAAAUAAAUCCGGGGAUUCAGAAUUUGAAUUUAUGUUUGGUGGCGAGCCAGGAAGUGAAGCUGCUAUUGCUCAUGAUUUUUUUCUUUGGAUGAAAAAGAAAUAUAUGUUGGCUAGAUUAAAUGAAUGGAAAAGUGACUCGUCUUCUAAGACUUUCGCAGUUGAUGAUAAAAAAAUGAUGGUUGUGGUUGGAUUUCAUUCACCUACUGAUUCUGACAUGGAGAUGGAAGAUGAUAUCACCCACCCAGAAACUGUCCAGGUGGUCAAGAACUCAUUUGAAAUUCAAAACUUUGAGUUAGAUUCAGUGUGUAUUGAUUCAAAUGAAAAAGAACGUGCACCACGUAGUUCUGGAGCAUGCGAGCCAGUGCAAGAUGUAUCUGAAAAACUCUCGGUCUCUGUUUACCCAGUACCAGGUGAGCGAGGUUCAGCUAGGGCUCCUGAAUGGUCUCCGGCCGGCAAAGCUGUGAAGUCAUCCUCUCUCAGAGCUGAUAAUAGAAGUCCUUCUGGGGCUUUAGCAGCUGCUGAAGGCAUUGGUUCUGAUAAGCAUACCCAUCAACAUAUAAAUGAUUCCAGUCCAUUUAGACUUCUGCAAGGCUAUGCAUCUGAUGACAGCACAGGAAAUGAAGAUGAGCCCCAUCUUGAAGAUUUAAAUACAGUAUCAUCGACGGUUGAUGCUACAAAUUUGCGUAUAGACUCUGAGUGUAAUCUGAUAACAGAUUUUGGGUCUGAGAGUCCUUGUAAGACUGAAAAACAGUUUCGACUGCCAUCUGGAUCAGCCAUGUCUGGAAAAGCUCCAGAAAUUUCUGCAGGUUCACAAGGAGAAUUUGGAAUAACUACCAGAAAAGAAAAUGCUAGAGGAGCAAUUGAUGAACAUGACGGGACUAUGCUUGAAAAUAGAGCAUCGAUCAAUCGUGUCACUACUUAUGAGGAUAUCCAGAAACAAGAUGUCCAUGGAGGUGCAUGGGCUGAUGGUGCUUCUAGCAGAAAGUUACAUAAUGAAAAUAAGGAUGUAAGUGCAAAGUCGACUCCAACUCUUCCAAAAGUAGAUGAGUUUGGGAGAUUGGUCAGAGAAGGUGCCGGUGCCAGUGACAGUGACUCUGAUGAUUCUCGCCACCGAAGGCAUAGCAAAAGAGGCAGAAGCCGUAGCUGGAGUCGAUCACCUCCUGAUAGGAGGAGACAGCGGCGGUGGAGAAGUCCACAAAGGAGAAGGGAGAGGCGAAGCCGAUCUCGCAGCUGGUCUCCUAGACAUCGAAGAAGUAGGAGCAGGUCUCCCUCUCAUAACCAUGCAGGUGAGUUCAUGGGUGAUCGAGUGAGACGGGACAAAGGUCGAGUCCCAGACUGUUUUGACUUCCGUAGAGGCAGGUGCUACCGUGGAGCGUUAUGUCAAUAUCGACACCAUGAUAUAGACAAGGGUGAUGGAUCUAGGCGCUAUAGGGGCAAACAACAGUACCUGGAAAUGCAUCCUAGCUCAAAGAAUUCUAAUGUUGUAGAAGAGAUCAAGAAUAUUCCUCUAAAAGUGUCAGAUGGUAAGCUUGAAGAAGUCAAUGUGGGUAUGUCUUGUGGCAGUUUUGGUGCUACAAAAGACAGAAACUUUGAGAGUGACGCUCUGCAAUCCUUUGUCCCUCAUACAGCUGGUCAAGUAAUUGAUUCUGAUGUAACUAAGUGCGAUAGUUCUAAAGAGGGUGCUGCUAAAAUGCCAGAGAGACAAAGGGUUCUAGAAGAGCCAAAAGAGGAUAUCAUGCACCGCAGUAACAGUUUUAAGGAAGCAAUGGAAUGUGGUAACCCAUUUGUGGAUGAUAAUAUUCCCUCUAAACCUGAAGGAAGUGCUGAUACUGUGAAUUCACAUGAUGAAGCGUCUCAAGAUGGAGUUUGUCCUUUGAAAUUUUCCGCAAUUCAACAACCUCAACCAAAUCUUUCAGGUGGAAGGGUUCAGAAUGUUGAUCAUCCUGAGAAAGAUAACUCAUCUACAUCUGAUUCAUCACCCGAUCGAACAUCAUCGACUGCCUGUAAUAAUCCUACUGAGAGUGAUAUUCCAAUUGAAACAGAAAAUCUACAUCUUUGUGCCCAGUUGCCCCCUCCUCCACCUCAGCUCCCAUUUUCACAGGGCGUGAAUACUCCUCAUAUGGCACAACCACUAAGUGGUUAUAAUUUAAUGCUGCAGGAAACUACAAUUUCUUCUGCAUCUGCUCCUGGUAAAAGUUUUCCUUAUAUGUUACCCAGUCAACAAUCGUUCUUCUCCGCACCUUCAACUUCCCUGCCGCCACCUCCCCCAAUAUUUCCACCUCAUAAUUCAAAUGUAGAAAGUACAACCCCGGUUGUUUCUUCACAAUUUCAGCAGGCUCAGUUACCUUCAAGAAAUAACAGUGGUUCUCAAACUUUCUCGAGACCCUACAUGAACGAGUUGGCUACUUAUUCUAAAGUUGGUGAAUUUCCGCAUGGAGCUUAUGCUGCUACACGUGAGUCUCAUCAACCUUUCUUGCAUUCAGAAGAUUUUAGACUGAAGAAUCCUCCAGUUUUUAACCUGCCACAUCAACAAUUUGGAGGCCCUGGUCUUUUGAGAGAACGUACCAUGGCACAGCUUCCGGUGCAGGGUUUUUGUACUUCAAGUUCCUUGUCUCAGAGUAACAAUCACCCCCAGGCGACUGCUUUUUCGCAAGAAUUUCAUGCAACCAAUUUUCCUGGUAUUCGUAUGCCUCAGUUUGGCCUUUCAACCUCAACUCCUCAUAUUCAUCCUUACUCUCAGGAACAACUGCCACCUCAUGGUUUACACCACUCCAUGGCGGAUAAUGUGAAUAAGCUGCCGGGAAAAGUCAGUUCUUCAUCUACAUAUGCACCAGAUCAUCUGGACAUGAAUAAGUCAGUCUACCAGCCUGAUUUUGGAUCAAGAACUACUGCUCACUAUAAUCCUUAUGCAUCUACAUUUGAACAGCCACUUUUCUCCAAAUUCAAUUCGAAAUUUUUCGGACAAGAAAAGGAUUCAGUUGAUGGGCAAGGGAUUGGCAGUGCUGGGUUGAGACACGAAGCUUCGUCACCAAAGUCUGGUGGAGAUGUUGGACAGAACUUUUCCAGGUCUGGUGGUGACCGGAAUGAUCCUCAUUCUGACAGCAUUGAGCCGUCUUCGUACUCAUUUAAUAAAUCAGGACAUGUUCACAAGCGGGAAUCUACCAUUGACCGUGACGUUGUGUUGAGGCUCAUUGAUCCCAACAGGCCAUUGGAUGUGGAAGAAAACAACAAGAAAGAAGCCAGUGCAGUUGUUUUUGCAACAUCUUUUGAUAAUGAGGAGUUUGGAGAGACAGCAGAUGCCGAGGUAGGUGCUGUUGAAAAUGCAAGCCCAAGUGAUCCUACAGGCAAUGUGACAGCGGGUGAUGUUGAACUUGAUCAAAUCAAGUCCCCAGGGAAGAGCAAGAAGAGCAAAGGGUCAAGAUCUAUGAGUCUUUUUAAAGUCGCUAUUGCAGAUUUUGUGAAGGAGGUUCUAAAGCCAUCAUGGCGACAGGGUAAUAUGAGCAAGGAAGCAUUUAAGACGAUUGUCAAGAAGACUGUUGAUAAGGUGUCGGGAGCUAUGAAGAGCCAUCAGAUACCCAAGUCUCAGGCAAGGAUAAAUCAGUACAUUGACUCAUCGCAGCGAAAGCUAACAAAGCUUGUGAUGGGCUAUGUUGAUAAGUAUGUUAAAGCAUAAAAGUAGACUGUUGACGUCCGUUGAUAAGCUGCUCUUUGAUGAUAGAAGAUUUUGAUUAAAUCUGUAUGUUUCCCUAUCUUUCGAAACUAUCUUUAUAUGUUGUUGCAGAAGUGUAACUCACUCUUUUUGGCCGCAGACCGAUAAAGAAAGUUGUGAAAAUAACUAGAAUGUUGAUUUUCUGUCAAGUCUCUAUACCUGCUAGCUAAAGGGUGCAUGGGAAGAUGAAUUUUAUUGUGAGAGAGUUAAUCUUAGCAAAAUUCUAAGUGAGCUCGAAACAUGUUUGUUGCCGUAUUGGUAAAUUUGCGUGGAUUAAUGAUUGAAAGUAUGCGUAGCUUUUUUAUGCCUGAAUUUUAAAAGAUGUCCCUCCGUUAAGUUGAGCAAGGAUCUGUAGAUCUUACUUCUGGGGUACCAGGAUCUCUUAUUGGAUGUUGUUGAUACUUCUUGACAUGGAGCUCAUCAGCCAAGUUUGUUAAGGGGCUUAGAGUAUAUGACUGUGGAACGACGUAUAAUUAUUCGUUGAUGGAGCUCAUGAAAAGCCGAGGAUAAAACAAAGCGCAAUCUUCUUACCAUCUCCUGCUGCUGAUCCAGUUAUUUCCACUCAGAUUUGUCAUUUGAAGAUGGAAAUAGAAGAGCCUUAAAGAUACCAAAUAGAUUUUUAUCUUUUGAAGAUAGUUACUUGCAUGUAAGUACUGGUACAGUGAUGCUCAAUGUAAUGGAUGUUUUGGAUUAUAUAUGUUUGAACUUUGAAAUGUUAUAUAUCUUGUUUAGUUGUCUUCAAA